Molecule: ribosomal RNA, 495 nt
Filed under: uncultured bacterium
Lineage: Bacteria
Description: partial 16S ribosomal RNA
Rfam family: Bacterial small subunit ribosomal RNA
Source: RNAcentral
GACGAACGCUGGCGGCGUGCCUAAUACAUGCAAGUAGAACGCUGAAGGAGGAGCUUGCUCUUCUGGAUGAGUUGCGAACGGGUGAGUAACGCGUAGGUAACCUGCCUGGUAGCGGGGGAUAACUAUUGGAAACGAUAGCUAAUACCGCAUAAGAGUAGAUGUUGCAUGACAUUUGCUUAAAAGGUGCAAUUGCAUCACUACCAGAUGGACCUGCGUUGUAUUAGCUAGUUGGUGGGGUAACGGCUCACCAAGGCGACGAUACAUAGCCGACCUGAGAGGGGGAUCGGCCACACUGGGACUGAGACACGGCCCAGACUCCUACGGGAGGCAGCAGUAGGGAAUCUUCGGCAAUGGACGGAAGUCUGACCGAGCAACGCCGCGGGAGUGAAGAAGGUUGUCGGAUCGUAAAGCUCUGUUGUAAGAGAAGAACGAGUGUGAGAGUGGAAAGUUCACACUGUGACGGUAGCUUACCAGAAAGGGACGGCUAACUACGUG